AAAAGUACUUUCUGAUUU
RNAcentral lists this microRNA (18 nucleotides) under Corchorus olitorius. RNAcentral describes it as "hsa-miR-548av-". Lineage: Eukaryota; Viridiplantae; Streptophyta; Magnoliopsida; Malvales; Malvaceae. The record is from RNAcentral.